Molecule: long non-coding RNA, 1553 nt
Organism: Heterocephalus glaber (naked mole-rat)
Lineage: Eukaryota; Metazoa; Chordata; Mammalia; Rodentia; Bathyergidae
Source: Ensembl
UCUCAGCAAAAUUUCAGGAAGCUCCAUUUCACUCUAACUGAAGUUGCCCUGAUGUGUUUGUUACUGUGGGCAUACAUGUUUCUGUUUUCAUAGCAGCUGAGGAAGACACCUCUUGGGGAAACUGCCAUGGCUUUUGACUUCUAACCUACCAAUCCAUUAGAUUCCUAAAGAAGAUUAAAGAGAUGAUAAAGAUUGAUUUGGGGGGGAAAAAAGAGAAAAAUUUCAUUGUAAGGGUUGACUUCUACAGUAUUCACAUCACAGGGGAGUAUCAGCUUAGAUGUCUGUUGUGCCAUGACGCUUGCGCCAAAGGGCAGGGGUUAUUUGUACUCUGUAGGUGUCGUGUGUUGAAGCCUCAGAGUGAUGCCCUCAAGAAGCAAUCAUGGGAUUAAACUCACCUCCAUGCAUAUUCUGAGAGCUACAAAUGCACAGUAUGAAGGCAGAAAGCAUCUAUCUUUUCUUCUGCAAGCCUGAGAAGACUCUUUUCUAAUGCCUCCAAAAUAUCUCAGCAGUACAAUACUUCAAAGUCAUCUUUUCUUGCCUCAAAUGACUCAGCAAAGGAGAAUUUUAUCAUUUUAUUAAAAAAUGGAUAGCAAAGGGGAUUGUAAAUAUAGAUGAGCUUGAGAUGAGGUGUGAGAAUCUGCUUGAGAUUUGAUUAUCACUCCAUAAUGAAUGUUUCCAGUGUUAAGAUUUUUCAUCCGUCUCAACACCUAAUGUGGGAGAAACAGCUAUGAUGUCUUGAGCAGUCCCCUGGAGAGAGCCAAGUGGUGAAUUGCAACCUCCUGCCAGCACUGGGCACCAUCUAGGCAGCCAUGGGUGUAAGCUGUAUUGGAAGUGACUCUUCCAGUUUUUUCCUAGGCUAAAAUGAUGGGAAGAUGUGGAAAAUAAACUCAUCUUGCCUUUUUAAUGGUCACCACUGGAACAGAACAUCCUUUAAAAUCUGCCUGGUAGCUGAAUUGUUGAUUGAAUUCUGCAAGCAAAUGCCAACAUUACCAAAGUAAAACCACAGUGUAGAACAAGAGAAAUACUGAAUUCACCAGUGUAGCAGAUUGGAUUCUCUGCAACAACUGCUGAGAUGGAAUUUGAGGAUGAAAGAUGGUUAUUAUGAAUUAACAUCUGUGGAGGGAGACACAGACAGGAUUCAACUCAACUCCAAGUUACUGUGGAGCAAGCAAUGCCCAUUAGGUUUCAGUUGUUUUCAACAGAAGGGCGGGUCCAAGACCAACUCCUCCAUCAGGACCAGAAGAGUUUAAAAAUUUUGGAAGUACAAAAGGCAGCAAGAAACCCAGACCACAGCUUGGAAUGUUUGGCUGUAGACCCUUUCUCAGUUCUGGAGGCUACAAGUUCUACAUCAACGUAGUAGAUUGUUCACCAGUGGCUGUCUUCUGGCUCUGUCCUCACAUAGCAGAAUGGGUACUGGGGAUUGAACUUGGGACCUUGCACUUGCGUGGCAGGCAGCAGAACCACUGAGCUAAAUCUCCAGCCCAAUGUAACCCAGGCUGGAUUGAACUUUCAACUAUCCUCUUGCUUCAGUCUCCCAAAUGCUGGGAUUACUG